GUUUCUGGAGAGCUUUCCUGUGUGAUCAGGGAAAACAGCAGAACUACGGGAGCAGAAUGAAGUGAGAUGCAAAGCAAAGUAAGGUAAAUUGGAAGAUACAGAAAAUAAGAAAACAAAUCAGGGGAAAAGAGGAGCUGGGUCUUGCCCAUGCAGCAGAGCAUCCCAGUUCGAUGCUAAAAACAUCUAUUCCACAAAGAAAGCAAGCAAGAAAGCAAUGGACCAAGAGAUGGGUUUUCACAGGCCUGUGUUAAUGGGGAGGAUUAGUGGAUAUAAAGACUCUGACAGAGGUUUAAAGGUUGCUUUUAGACUUAGGCAUUCCAGACUUUCCUUAACCCUUUGUGCUUGAGGUAUGUGGUGAGGGAGCUGAGUGGGUUUGCUGAGCUGCUCACAGCCUAUGAGUGUUAGCUUUCAGUGAGUUUUAAUGGUGCAAUUACUCCAUAUCCCGUGGAGUGCAAAAUCCAGGAAGACAAGUAAAAGUUCUGUGUCUUAACUAUGAGUUUGCUACCUUAAGGUUCUUUUCUAGCCUGUGCAGAGAAACACCCUUAAUAGAGAUGCUGUGUUUUAUAUGGAUAUCUUUGAGGUCAAUCCAGACAUGACUGUUUCUAUUAUCCCUGUUUCCUUUUGAUUAUAAAAGCAGACUUGCAUGACUCAGAGAUCCAAACUAUGGACAGAUGUAUUCAGUUUCAGAGCUCAAGAAAUCAGUUCCUGCUUUCCCCAAGUUAUCUGUGCCUCAGUGGUUGCUUGCUCAGACCUGCAGUGGAUUUUUGCUGCAGGCAGUGUCCAUGCAAGGACAUUCAGCAUGAGCAGAAGCUCCCACAGUCCCUCCUCUCUCGCUUAUCACCACUCUCUGCCUGUGCAAGGAGAGGGAAGAUGAUAGGAGCUAAAAGCAAUUCCCAUGAGAAAAGAGGUCAAUUUUUAAGGCAGGAAGACAACAUAAAGGGAAUUUAAAUCCUACUGUCUGUGCUGUACCUGUUCUGUGGCAAGAGAAUCCUGCUUGAUAAGUCUUAAUGCUUUACAUUAAGUGCUACACGCUCAUUAAGAAAACAAAUGAGUUUUACUGUUUUUUUCAUACUGGGUUUGGGGUUUUUUUCCAGGUUUCCACUCUAAAAACCCCUAAAUAUCAAUUAUAAUUCCUUAAUGGCUAAUCGAUUCCUAGCCUGCUUUCCCCUUUUUUGUAUUUCAAAGUGAGAAGGAAAGACCUGCACAGCAAGGAGUCUCAAACCCCCUGUAAGAGGCAAUGUGAGAUUGCCCAGUGACCUCUAUAAAGGGGAUUACUUAAUGGUUUCACCAUGGUUUCAGUGAGCAGCUAUGGCCUUUGGAUGCACAGUCCUGACAAUGAAUAUCCAGCUGGUUUAAAAGCUUUUGGUCUCACCUCAAAUCACCAUAACAGAUCAUUAGCUGCUGGGAAAUGUACCCCAUGGUACUAGCACCCUGAUUUGCGCAUUGGUUCACUUCCAAAUACCCUUCACCAUCACCUAGAAAUGCAUGUAGUAGUUUUAUAAGUAGAUUAGCAUUUACAGAAGUUACAAAGUAGUAUAUUUUCCCUAUCCCAGCCAUCUUAUCUGUAUCUUUUGUUGUUGCCACGGUUGUUCCAUCUUAAAGUCAAAGUACUCUGCUUAGUACAUAGGUGUCUAGUACAGCUCUUGUAUACUCAUGUAGACUGAUUAACCCAUGCAAUAUAUCCAUAGCUGCACACAAACCUGUGUCCAUAGUAUCACUGUCAAAAAUGGCCAGUGAAAAUGCAAGUGACAUUUGCAUCUUCAGCAUCCACUAAACCCCCUUUAGGACUGAAUAAACCCUGAGAACCCAUUUCAAAGAAACUCAGACAUAAAAUCCUCUGGCCAAGGUCUAUAAGCUCCCUGCCCUGUCCCUGCUGGCUUGGAAACUGGGGGCAGUAUUUUCCACAGAAAAUUCAAAUCCCAACUCAAGUGAAGCCAGCUGGAGUUGGAGAAAGUCAGAAAUCAGACUGUCAGGUGAGGUCUCAAGAUGGGGUCCCUGCAGCCAUGCAGUGUUGGUCACUCCAGCAGCAGGUCCUCACUGAGAACUCUUCAUUUAAGUUUUGUGCUGUAACUGUGAGGUUUCUAUUUGAGGACCUGAACAGAUGUAGUUCAGUCUAGGUUCUUCGCUUACCCCAGUCACUGCACUGAAGUCACUUUCAGACUGGCUAUUAAACGCAGGAACUGGUGGCUUUUAAAUCAUUUUCAGGAUGCUAACCAGUCCACCUCUGAAAUCCUGGGAAAAGACAGGAGAAUUAAGAGAAGUGGUGGAAGUUAGAAGCAUUAAGACAUCAGGUCUGUCUUCCCAAGUUAAUUUAAUUACUCAUGUGCCUAAAACCUGUACUGUUUAAUCGCAGAGUUAAGCUGUAAGACAAAAGCAUGACAAAACAGGGGGAUGAGAAGCAAGAGAGAAGGUUGUAAAGUCAGAGGAGGUUUUGACUGCCUGGAAGAUAACAUCUCAAAUAGUCAUUCAAUAAUUUUAAUAGAUGCCUGAAACAGCAUUAGUCAAGCUCUGCCAUUACCUUUCCAAUGAAUGCUCCUUAAAAAUACCAGGAUCUGCAGAGUGAAUGAAGAGAAGAAACCUGAGCGACAGAGCUGUGACUCCUGCUUUCCUCCGGAGAUCUCACCUCUAGUGCAGUGGCACAGUCAGGAAGCCUCACUCACUUUGAUGCAGGACUGCUUUGCAAAGAGACACUUAUCAAAACAUGAACAGGUUGGCACUUGCAGAGCUGUGGGAUAGAGGAGAUGAGGGUGGUGCAUACAACAGAGACCCAGACACAUGUUCCUCAGAUGUUUUGGGAGGCACUGGGGGG
Pezoporus occidentalis (night parrot) is the source of this 2809-nucleotide long non-coding RNA. RefSeq lists it as uncharacterized. The transcript has 2 exons. Lineage: Eukaryota; Metazoa; Chordata; Aves; Psittaciformes; Psittacidae. The record is from RefSeq and is a predicted model, not a curated record.